Non-coding RNA from Pelobates cultripes (western spadefoot toad), 307 nucleotides. The record is from the annotation of a GenBank genome assembly. Lineage: Eukaryota; Metazoa; Chordata; Amphibia; Anura; Pelobatidae.
GCAUUAUACAUUUCUGCAAACUAUGCAAGCAGGACUGCCUUAAGAUUAGACCCAAAAAACUGGGAACUGGACAAGAAAGUCGAAUUUUGUCAAGAAGUCCAUUAUUGCAACAGAAUUUUGGAAAACAGCUAAAACUUACAAAAACAGCCUCCCCCCUCUUUUUUCUUAAGACUACAACUCAUAUUGCUCUUGGACUAGUAUUCAAUAAUAAAUCAGUUAUUUAAUAGAUUAUUACACUGCCAUUUCCAUCUGUAUCAAUAUGGAGACAAACUUACAAAAUACCCAUUAACAUACAUGACAAUUAAAC